RNAcentral lists this ribosomal RNA (310 nucleotides) under uncultured bacterium. RNAcentral's name for it is "bacterial SSU rRNA". It matches the Rfam family "Bacterial small subunit ribosomal RNA", at positions 30 to 334 of the family's 1533-position model. The record is from RNAcentral.
AUUGAACGCUGGCGGCAUGCCUAAUACAUGCAAGUCGAACGGAAAUGAUGGAAGCUUGCUUCCAGGCGUCGAGUGGCGGACGGGUGAGUAAUACUUAGGAAUCUGCCCAUUAGGUGGGGGACAACAUUCGGAAACGGAUGCUAAUACCGCAUACGCCCGUACGGGGGAAAGCGGGGGAUCUUCGGACCUCGCGCUAAUGGAUGAGCCUAAGCCGGAUUAGCUAGUUGGUGGGGUAAAAGCCUACCAAGGCGACGAUCCGUAGCUGGUCUGAGAGGACGAUCAGCCACACUGGGACUGAGACACGGCCCAG